RNAcentral lists this ribosomal RNA (774 nucleotides) under uncultured Neocallimastigales. Its description in RNAcentral is "partial large subunit ribosomal RNA". It matches the Rfam family "Eukaryotic large subunit ribosomal RNA", at positions 22 to 640 of the family's 3401-position model. Lineage: Eukaryota; Fungi; Neocallimastigomycota; Neocallimastigomycetes; Neocallimastigales. The record is from RNAcentral.
CUAUACAUGACUCUGUGCAUAUCAAUAAGCGGAGGAAAAGAAACUAACAAGGAUUCCCCUAGUAACGGCGAGUGAAGCGGGAAGAGCUCAAAUUUGAAAUCUUAAAGGGUUUCCCUUUACGAAUUGUAGUUUAAAGAAGUGUUUUCUGUUGAGGUUUUGGUAAAAGUUCUUUGGAAUAGGACAUCAUAGAGGGUGAGAAUCCCGUAUUUGACCUUUACUUUCAACUUUGUGAUACACUUUCAAAGAGUCGGAUUGUUUGGGAAUGCAGUCCAAAAUGGGUGGUAAAUUUCAUCUAAAGCUAAAUAUUGGCGAGAGACCGAUAGCGAACAAGUACCGUGAGGGAAAGAUGAAAAGAACUUUGAAAAGAGAGUUAAACAGUACGUGAAAUUGUCAAAAGGGAAGCGUUUGACACCAGUGUUGUUUUUCUGAAAAUCAAUUAAAGAACUGUUUAUGCUAAGCUGUUUAGACUUUAUCAGCUAACUGUUUAGUUUUGAGCUUUUCUUUAAUGCACUUUUCAGUUAACAAGUCAACAUCAAUUUCUUUCGCUGUAAAAAAGCUUGAGGAAGGUGGCUUGAGAUUCGUCUUAAGUGUUUAUAGCCUCUUGCCUAUGCAGUCGGAGAGAUUGAGGUCUGCAGCGUAGAUCCUUCGGGGCUAAAUGCAUUUGUGCUAAGUUAUAGCAUUUUAUAGACAACUUGUUGACUACGAUUUGUCUUGUAGCUUACUCGCUUAUGUUAUUUUACCUACGCUUAGGAUGUUGAUCUACAGAGCGAGAGU